Molecule: ribosomal RNA, 332 nt
Filed under: Salmonella enterica subsp. enterica serovar Typhimurium
Lineage: Bacteria; Pseudomonadati; Pseudomonadota; Gammaproteobacteria; Enterobacterales; Enterobacteriaceae
Description: partial 23S ribosomal RNA
Rfam family: Bacterial large subunit ribosomal RNA
Source: RNAcentral
GGGUUGUGAGGUUAAGCGACUAAGCGUACACGGUGGAUGCCCUGGCAGUCAGAGGCGAUGAAGGACGUGCUAAUCUGCGAUAAGCGCCGGUAAGGUGAUAUGAACCGUUAUAACCGGCGAUUUCCGAAUGGGGAAACCCAGUGUGAUUCGUCACACUAUCAUUAACUGAAUCCAUAGGUUAAUGAGGCGAACCGGGGGAACUGAAACAUCUAAGUACCCCGAGGAAAAGAAAUCAACCGAGAUUCCCCCAGUAGCGGCGAGCGAACGGGGAGGAGCCCAGAGCCUGAAUCAGCAUGUGUGUUAGUGGAAGCGUCUGGAAAGGCGCGCGAUAC